UUCUUCUUCUUCAUUUUCUCUUUUGCUUAAACGUAGUGUAUCCUUCAAUUUUUUCUCUUUCUUUUACUCAUUUUCUUGAAAUAUAACAAAAAAGAUCAUAUGGGUCGAGCUAGAAACUGGGAUGCCUAAGUUGUUUCUUGAAAAUUAUGAGGAGUUUGGGAGGAUGGAAACUGGUGUUUACACCUGGAAAUGAGGGAGAGGCAACGGUGGCGAGCUGAAGAGGAUGCUUUGUUGCGAGCAUACGUGAGACAGUAUGGACCAAAAGAAUGGCACCUUGUAUCACAGCGUAUGAACACGCCCCUUAACAGGGACGCGAAGUCUUGUUUAGAAAGGUGGAAAAACUACCUCAAACCAGGGAUUAAAAAAGGAUCACUCACUGAAGACGAGCAGCGUCUUGUUAUACAACUACAAGCCAAACACGGUAACAAAUGG
Molecule: unclassified non-coding RNA, 432 nt
Filed under: Hevea brasiliensis (rubber tree)
Lineage: Eukaryota; Viridiplantae; Streptophyta; Magnoliopsida; Malpighiales; Euphorbiaceae
Source: RNAcentral